UACGUAGGGACCAAGCGUUGUUCGGAUUUACUGGGCGUAAAGGGCGCGUAGGCGGCUUGACAAGUCACUUGUGAAAUCUCCGGGCUUAACUCGGAACGGCCAAGUGAAACUGUCAUGCUAGAGUGCAGAAGGGGCAAUCGGAAUUCUUGGUGUAGCGGUGAAAUGCGUAGAUAUCUGGAGGAACACCGGUGGCGAAGGCGGCAUCCUGGACCGACACUGACACUGAGGAGCGAAAGCCAGGGGAGCAAACGGG
RNAcentral lists this ribosomal RNA (253 nucleotides) under uncultured bacterium. RNAcentral's name for it is "partial 16S ribosomal RNA". It matches the Rfam family "Bacterial small subunit ribosomal RNA", at positions 524 to 776 of the family's 1533-position model. The record is from RNAcentral.